CGAAAAACAGUAAGUAAAAUCUCUAUAUAUUGUGAAGUUGUAAAGCCACUUCUCUUACAUGCAAUAAAUAGGAACCAAAUUGUAAGUUAAAGAACUUACUUAUUUUUGCUUAUAAGUUAUUCUUUAGAUCUAUAACUUUUUUUUUUCUUUCAGAUUAUAAUUUGAUGAUGAAGUCUUUGGUUAUUCUCCUUCUCGCCUCAUUGUUGAUUGCGGGAAAUUACCAGGCUCGUGCAAAAAUGCUUCGUAGGAGGAAUCCUCGUGUCCUAGCCAGCGAUGAACAUCUUGGUGGAGAAGAACGAAUCGCAGCUAAUGAUAAUAGUAAAACUGCAGAUAAUGAAGCUAAGAGUGAUAAUUAUGAAGGGACAUCUGGAUCAGACUCACACCGAUUAUUCCCAGAGGAGGGAAAACCUAAAUACAACCCACCGCGACAUGUUUAGAGGCCACUUGUUUAUCUAUAUCGAUCUCGUGGAGGAUAAGUUUUCGAUCUUGUGCUCGUUUGUUGCCAAAAGUGUAACAUAUAUAUGGAAAAUGAAAGUUUAAGAAAGUCCGGGGUAAUAGUUUGUGUAAUAAGUAAGUUUUGUUUUAAUGUAACAGUAAAAAUGUUCGGUGUAAAUUGCAUUGUCUACAAUAAGGCAAGCCAUGGCUGCAAG
This 650-nucleotide long non-coding RNA is filed under the name Olea europaea (common olive). RNAcentral describes it as "long non-coding RNA (OEUR_LNC012957)". Lineage: Eukaryota; Viridiplantae; Streptophyta; Magnoliopsida; Lamiales; Oleaceae. The record is from RNAcentral.